CACGUAGGAGGCGAGCGUUGUCCGGAAUCAUUGGGCGUAAAGAGCGUGUAGGCGGCUUGGAAGGUCAGCUGUGAAAACUCGAGGCUCAACCUCGAGACGUCGGUUGAAACCACCUGGCUAGAGUCCGGAAGAGGAGUGUGGAAUUCCCGGUGUAGCGGUGAAAUGCGCAGAUAUCGGGAAGAACACCCGUGGCGAAGGCGGCACUCUGGGACGGUACUGACGCUGAGACGCGAAAGCGUGGGGAGCGAACAGG
This 253-nucleotide ribosomal RNA is filed under the name uncultured bacterium. Its description in RNAcentral is "partial 16S ribosomal RNA". It matches the Rfam family "Bacterial small subunit ribosomal RNA", at positions 524 to 776 of the family's 1533-position model. The record is from RNAcentral.